AUUGAACGCUGGCGGAAUGCCUAACACAUGCAAGUCGAGCGGGGUAGCAAUACCCAGCGGCGGACGGGUGAGGAAUACAUAGGAAUUUGCCUUUAGGUGGGGGAUAGCUUGGGGAAACUCAAGGUAAUACCGCAUGAUCUCGCAAGAGCAAAGUGGGGGACCGCAAGACCUCACGCCUUUAGAGAAGCCUAUGUCUGAUUAGCUUGUUGGUGAGGUAACGGCUCACCAAGGCGACGAUCAGUAACUGGUCUGAGAGGACGAUCAGUCACACCGGAACUGCGACACGGUCCGGCCUCCUACGGGAGGCUGCAGUGGGGAAUAUUGGACCAUGGGCGCAUGCCUGAUCCAGCAAUUCCGCGUGUGUGAAGAAGGCCUUCGGGUUGUAAAGCACUUUAGGUUGGGAAGAAAAAGCUUCGGCGAAUAUCCGGAGUGUUGACGGUACCAACAGAAUAAGCACCGGCUAACUCUGUGCCAGCCGCCGCCGUAA
RNAcentral lists this ribosomal RNA (487 nucleotides) under uncultured bacterium. Its description in RNAcentral is "partial 16S ribosomal RNA". It matches the Rfam family "Bacterial small subunit ribosomal RNA", at positions 30 to 523 of the family's 1533-position model. The record is from RNAcentral.